Podarcis lilfordi (Lilford's wall lizard) is the source of this 81-nucleotide non-coding RNA. The record is from the annotation of a GenBank genome assembly. NCBI's taxonomy places the organism in Eukaryota, Metazoa, Chordata, Lepidosauria, Squamata, Lacertidae.
GUCCCACCCCCCAGUGGCGCAAUGGGUCAGCACACCUGGCUGUUAACCAGAAGGUUGGUGGUUCGAGCCCACUCAGGGACG